UUUAACCGUGCGAAGGUAGCGCAAUCACUUGUCUUUUAAAUGAAGACCUGUAUGAACGGCAUAACGAGGGCUUAACUGUCUCCUUUUUCAAGUCAAUGAAAUUGAUCUCCCCGUGCAGAAGCGGGGAUAGUCCCAUAAGACGAGAAGACCCUAUGGAGCUUUAGACAUCAGGGUAUAUCAUGUUAAACACCCCUAAACAAAGGGCCUAACUAAAUGAACUCUACUCCCAUGUCUUUGGUUGGGGCGACCACGGGGAAAUAAAAAACCCCCACGUGGAAGGGGAGCACUGCCUCCUACAACCAAGAGCCACAACUCAACUUAACAGAACUUCUGACCAUAUAUGAUCCGGCAACGCCGAUCAACGGACCGAGUUACCCUAGGGAUAACAGCGCAAUCCUCUUCUAGAGCCCAUAUCGACAAGAGGGUUUACGACCUCGAUGUUGGAUCAGGACAUCCUAAUGGUGCAACCGCUAUUAAGGGUUCGUUUGUUCAACGAUUAAAGUCCUACGUGAUCUGAGUUCAGAACCGG
Molecule: ribosomal RNA, 529 nt
Filed under: Taractes asper (rough pomfret)
Lineage: Eukaryota; Metazoa; Chordata; Actinopteri; Scombriformes; Bramidae
Description: partial 16S ribosomal RNA
Rfam family: Bacterial large subunit ribosomal RNA
Source: RNAcentral